RNAcentral lists this ribosomal RNA (253 nucleotides) under uncultured bacterium. RNAcentral's name for it is "partial 16S ribosomal RNA". It matches the Rfam family "Bacterial small subunit ribosomal RNA", at positions 524 to 776 of the family's 1533-position model. The record is from RNAcentral.
CACGUAGGGGGCAAGCGUUGUCCGGAUUUAUUGGGCGUAAAGAGCGUGUAGGCGGCCAUACAGGUCAGCUGUGAAAACUCGAGGCUCAACCUCGAGACGUCGGUUGAAACCGUAUGGCUAGAGUCCGGAAGAGGAGAGUGGAAUUCCCGGUGUAGCGGUGAAAUGCGCAGAUAUCGGGAAGAACACCCGUGGCGAAGGCGGCUCUCUGGGACGGUACUGACGCUGAGACGCGAAAGCGUGGGGAGCGAACAGG